RNAcentral lists this ribosomal RNA (305 nucleotides) under uncultured bacterium. RNAcentral describes it as "bacterial SSU rRNA". It matches the Rfam family "Bacterial small subunit ribosomal RNA", at positions 335 to 658 of the family's 1533-position model. The record is from RNAcentral.
AUCCUACGGGGCGCAGCAGUGGGGGAUAUUGCACAAUGGGGGAAACCCUGAUGCAGCAACGCCGCGUGAGUGAAGAAGUAUUUCGGUAUGUAAAGCUCUAUCAGCAGGGAAGAGAAUGACGGUACCUGACUAAGAAGCCCCGGCUAACUACGAGCCAGCAGCCGCGGGAAUACGAAGGGGGCGAGCGUUAUCCGGAUUUACUGGGUGUAAAGGGAGCGUAGACGGCUGGGCAAGUCUGAAGUGAAAGCCCGGGGCUUAACCCCGGAACGGCGUUGGAAACUGAGCAGCUAGAGGGCUGGAGAGGG